Molecule: ribosomal RNA, 252 nt
Filed under: uncultured bacterium
Lineage: Bacteria
Description: partial 16S ribosomal RNA
Rfam family: Bacterial small subunit ribosomal RNA
Source: RNAcentral
UACGGAGGAUGCGAGCGUUAUCCGGAUUCAUUGGGUUUAAAGGGUGCGUAGGCGGAUCGUUAAGUCAGUGGUCAAAUUGAGGGGCUCAACCCCUUCCCGCCAUUGAAACUGGCGAUCUUGAGUGGAAGAGAAGUAUGCGGAAUGCGUGGUGUAGCGGUGAAAUGCAUAGAUAUCACGCAGAACCCCGAUUGCGAAGGCAGCAUGCCGGCUUCCUACUGACGCUGAAGCACGAAAGCGUGGGGAUCGAACAGG